UGGGUUGUGUGUCUAGUAUGCGAGUCGACGAGAUCUUCGGAUCUAGUGGCGCACGGGUGAGUAACGCGUGGCAAUAUGCCCUUUGGUACGGAAUAACCUCGGUAAACUGAGAGUAAUACCGUAUGUAUCCUCUGAUCGUGACUCUCAGUUUACCGAGAUUAUUCCGCACAGGAUUACCCCGCGUUGCGCGAUAUUCACCCGUCCGCCUCUACCCCGAAGACUACGUUCCAUAUCUGGUGGAGACCUGAUCCCCCACACUGUUCUUGACCCAGAUUCCAAAUAUAUCGGACUAUGCAGGGUAUAAUCUAAGCCAAAGGCGGCAUCCAUGAUCAAGGCAUGCCGCGUGAUCGAUCUGGCCUUAGGGUUGUAAAGAUCUUUCCGUUGGAAAGAUAAUGAGGUACCACCUGAAUACGCCCCGGUUAACUCCGUGCCAUCAGCCGCGUUAAUACGUAGUGGGCUAGUGUUAUUCGGAAUUACUGUACGUAAAGCGUACGUAUGCGGACUGGACAGUUAGAGGUGAGAUCCCGGUCUCAACCUUUUAACUGCCUUUUAAAACUAUCAGGCUACAGAUCGAAAGAGU
Molecule: ribosomal RNA, 580 nt
Filed under: Rhodobacter sp. B91
Lineage: Bacteria; Pseudomonadati; Pseudomonadota; Alphaproteobacteria; Rhodobacterales
Description: bacterial SSU rRNA
Rfam family: Bacterial small subunit ribosomal RNA
Source: RNAcentral